RNAcentral lists this ribosomal RNA (368 nucleotides) under uncultured bacterium. RNAcentral describes it as "partial 16S ribosomal RNA". It matches the Rfam family "Bacterial small subunit ribosomal RNA", at positions 355 to 715 of the family's 1533-position model. The record is from RNAcentral.
UGGGGAAUUUUGGACAAUGGGCGCAAGCCUGAUCCAGCCAUGCCGCGUGCGGGAAGAAGGCCUUCGGGUUGUAAACCGCUUUUGUCAGGGAAGAAAUCUUCUGAGUUAAUACCUCGGGAGGAUGACGGUACCUGAAGAAUAAGCACCGGCUAACUACGUGCCAGCAGCCGCGGUAAUACGUAGGGUGCAAGCGUUAAUCGGAAUUACUGGGCGUAAAGCGUGCGCAGGCGGUUUUGUAAGACAGAGGUGAAAUCCCCGGGCUAACCUGGGAACUGCCUUUGUGACUGCAAGGCCUGAGUGCGGCAGAGGGGGAUGGAAUUCCGCNUGUAGCAGUGAAAUUGCGUAGAUAUGCGGAGGAACACCGAUGG